ACAUCAGUAGGAGGGGAAGGAGGAAGGAAGGAGAAGAAAGAGGAAGAAUAGGAGGAGAAGAGGAAGAGAGGAAGAAGUCGUGAACAGCCCUCCUGCAUUUUGCAUCAGGUAGAAAAGUCAGUUGAAUGUUGGGAAGAACACAAAUACUCACACAUCCUCCCCAUUCUCUGAGUUCCCACAAAGACUGUUAUUGCUGGGGCUCAUAAAAUUAUACUCCAAAGUAUGAUGCUUUGGCAUCCAGAGUGCUUUGAACUAUAGGAGAUUGAAGGCCCCAGAAGCCAAGUUUCCCUCUGACCUCCUGCCUCCCUGUCUCCCACCCCCUACUUUUCCCCUGAAGUGAGUCCUGGAAACCAGAAUUCUUCUUGCCCAAAGCAAGCCGUGACACCCUGGAAAUAUCACUCUAACCUUCCUUGCCUUUCCGUGUGGCAGCUGGCCAUGAAGAAAUUCUCUGACCUACCUUGUUUGAUAGCAGAUCACAAGACCCUGGUUCCAGAGCGGUCCUGCUUUACACCGAAGGAAAGGAAUGUCAUACAGAAAGGCCAAGAAGAAUCUGAAGAGAUGUCCAAUCACCUUUUCACGUGGCUGCCCAUUCUUCAUUGAACCUAAGCAUUAAAAUAGACAGUUUCCCCUGGGUCUUUGGGUCUUCAUUUCUGAAGACUCCAUGUCAUGUAAAACUUUGAUUAAAUAAAUGUAUCAUGCAUUA
This 703-nucleotide long non-coding RNA is filed under the name Homo sapiens (human). RNAcentral describes it as "HSALNT0352145". Lineage: Eukaryota; Metazoa; Chordata; Mammalia; Primates; Hominidae. The record is from RNAcentral.